UAUCUCUGUAGAGUCUGCAUAUCAAUAAGCGGAGGAAAAGAAACUAACUAGGAUUCCCUCAGUAACGGCGAGUGAAGCGGGAAGAGCUCAAAUUUGAAAUCUUCAAGGUUCUACCUUGACGAAUUGUAGUUUAAAGAAGUGUUUUCUGUUGGAGUUUUGGUAAAAGUUCUUUGGAAUAGGACAUCAUAGAGGGUGAGAAUCCCGUAUUUGACCAUUAUUUCCAGCUUUGUGAUACACUUUCAAAGAGUCGGAUUGUUUGGGAAUGCAGUCAAAAAUGGGUGGUAAAUUUCAUCUAAAGCUAAAUAUUGGCGAGAGACCGAUAGCGAACAAGUACCGUGAGGGAAAGAUGAAAAGAACUUUGAAAAGAGAGUUAAACAGUACGUGAAAUUGUCAAAAGGGAAGCGUUUGACACCAGUGUUGUUUUCUCGAAAAUCAAUUAAAAAAGGCCUGGAUUUUGUGUUGUAUUGACCUUAUAAGCUUUCUGCACUCUUUUCUUGUCUUUUUUAAUGCACUUUUCGUUUAACAAGUCAACAUCAAUUUCUUUUGUUGUAAAAGGGUCAUUGGAAGGUGGCUUUCUUUUCGGAGAAAGUGUUUAUAGCCUUUGGACUUCUGCAAUCGGAGAGAUUGAGGUCUGCAGCGUAGAUCCUUCGGGGUUAGAUACAUUUGUGCUAAGUUAUAGCCUUUCAUAGACAACUUGUUGACUAUGAUUAGUCAUUGUAGCUUACUCGCUUACUGCUAUUUUACCUACGCUUAGGAUGUUGAUGUGAUACUGCGAGCA
This 778-nucleotide ribosomal RNA is filed under the name uncultured Neocallimastigales. RNAcentral describes it as "partial large subunit ribosomal RNA". It matches the Rfam family "Eukaryotic large subunit ribosomal RNA", at positions 24 to 639 of the family's 3401-position model. The record is from RNAcentral. Lineage: Eukaryota; Fungi; Neocallimastigomycota; Neocallimastigomycetes; Neocallimastigales.